AGAGUUUGAUCCUGGCUCAGAUUGAACGCUGGCGGCAUGCCUUACACAUGCAAGUCGAACGGUAACAGGGAGCUUGCUCCGCUGACGAGUGGCGAACGGGUGAGUAAUAUAUCGGAACGUACCUUAGAGUGGGGGAUAACUAGUCGAAAGACUAGCUAAUACCGCAUACGAUCUACGGAUGAAAGUGGGGGCUCGCAAGAACCCUCAUGCUCAUAGAGCGGCCGAUAUCUGAUUAGCUAGUUGGUGAGGUAAAGGCUCACCAAGGCAUCGAUCAGUAGCUGGUCUGAGAGGACGACCAGCCACACUGGGACUGAGACACGGCCCAGACUCCUACGGGAGGCAGCAGUGGGGAAUCUUGGACAAUGGGGGCAACCCUGAUCCAGCAAUGCCGCGUGAGUGAAGAACGCCUUCGGGUUGUAAAGCUCUUGUUGUCACGG
RNAcentral lists this ribosomal RNA (437 nucleotides) under uncultured bacterium. Its description in RNAcentral is "bacterial SSU rRNA". It matches the Rfam family "Bacterial small subunit ribosomal RNA", at positions 8 to 445 of the family's 1533-position model. The record is from RNAcentral.